GGCCUACCAUGGUGGUAACGGGUAACGGGGUGUUAGGGCACGACACCGGAGAGGGAGCCUGAGAAACGGCUACCACAUCCAAGGAUGGCAGCAGGCGCGCAAAUUACCCAAUCCCGACACGGGGAGGUAGUGACAAUAAAUAACAAUACGGGGCUCUUUUGGGUCUCGUAAUUGGAAUGAGUACAAUUUAAAUCUCUUAACGAGGAACAAUUGGAGGGCAAGUCUGGUGCCAGCAGCCGCGGUAAUUCCAGCUCCAAUAGCGUAUAUUAAAGUUGUUGCAGUUAAAAAGCUCGUAGUUGAAUUUCGGGGUCAGUAGGUUGGUCGUGCCUAUGGUAUGUACUGGCUUUACUGAUUCCUCCUUCUUGAAGAAUUGUAAUGUCAUUAAUUUGGUGUUGCAGGGAAACAGGACUGUUACUUUGAAAAAAUUAGAGUGUUUAAAGCAGGCUAACGCUUGAAUACAUUAGCAUGGAAUAAUGAAAUAGGACGUUCGAUCCUAUUUUGUUGGUUUCUAGGAUUGACGUAAUGAUUAAUAGGGAUAGUUGGGGGCAUUAGUAUUCAAUUGUCAGAGGUGAAAUUCUUGGAUUUAUUGAAGACUAACUACUGCGAAAGCAUUUGCCAAGGAUGUUUUCAUUAAUCAAGAACGAAAGUUAGGGGAUCGAAGGCGAUCAGAUACCGUCGUAGUCUUAACCAUAAACUAUGCCGACUAGGGAUCGGAUGAUGUUAAUUUUUUAAUGACUCAUUCGGCGCCUUACG
Molecule: ribosomal RNA, 753 nt
Filed under: uncultured Glomeraceae
Lineage: Eukaryota; Fungi; Glomeromycota; Glomeromycetes; Glomerales; Glomeraceae
Description: SSU rRNA
Rfam family: Eukaryotic small subunit ribosomal RNA
Source: RNAcentral